GAACCCUGGCGGCGUGCUUAACACAUGCAAGUCGAACGGUGAAGCCCAGCUUGCUGGGUGGAUCAGUGGCGAACGGGUGAGUAACACGUGAGCAAUCUGCCCCUGACUCUGGGAUAAGCGCUGGAAACGGCGUCUAAUACUGGAUAUGAACCGUGGAGGCAUCUUCAACGGUUGGAAAGAUUUUUUGGUCAGGGAUGAGCUCGCGGCCUAUCAGCUUGUUGGUGAGGUAAUGGCUCACCAAGGCGUCGACGGGUAGCCGGCCUGAGAGGGUGACCGGCCACACUGGGACUGAGACACGGCCCAGACUCCUACGGGAGGCAGCAGUGGGGAAUAUUGCACAAUGGGCGCAAGCCUGAUGCAGCAACGCCGCGUGAGGGAUGACGGCCUUCGGGUUGUAAACCUCUUUUAGCAGGGAAGAAGCGAAAGUGACGGUACCUGCAGAAAAAGCGCCGGCUAACUACGUGCCAGCAGCCGCGGUAAUACGUAGGGCGCAAGCGUUAUCCGGAAUUAUUGGGCGUAAAGAGCUCGUAGGCGGUUUGUCGCGUCUGCUGUGAAAUCCCGAGGCUCAACCUCGGGUCUGCAGUGGGUACGGGCAGACUAGAGUGCGGUAGGGGAGAUUGGAAUUCCUGGUGUAGCGGUGGAAUGCGCAGAUAUCAGGAGGAACACCGAUGGCGAAGGCAGAUCUCUGGGCCGUAACUGACGCUGAGGAGCGAAAGGGUGGGGAGCAAACAGGCUUAGAUACCCUGGUAGUCCACCCCGUAAACGUUGGGAACUAGUUGUGGGGUCCAUUCCACGGAUUCCGUGACGCAGCUAACGCAUUAAGUUCCCCGCCUGGGGAGUACGGCCGCAAGGCUAAAACUCAAAGGAAUUGACGGGGACCCGCACAAGCGGCGGAGCAUGCGGAUUAAUUCGAUGCAACGCGAAGAACCUUACCAAGGCUUGACAUAUACGAGAACGCUGCAGAAAUGUAGAACUCUUUGGACACUCGUAAACAGGUGGUGCAUGGUUGUCGUCAGCUCGUGUCGUGAGAUGUUGGGUUAAGUCCCGCAACGAGCGCAACCCUCGUUCUAUGUUGCCAGCACGUAAUGGUGGGAACUCAUGGGAUACUGCCGGGGUCAACUCGGAGGAAGGUGGGGAUGACGUCAAAUCAUCAUACCCCUUAUGUCUUGGGCUUCACGCAUGCUACAAUGGCCGGUACAAAGGGCUGCAAUACCGUAAGGUGGAGCGAAUCCCAAAAAGCCGGUCCCAGUUCGGAUUGAGGUCUGCAACUCGACCUCAUGAAGUCGGAGUCGCUAGUAAUCGCAGAUCAGCAACGCUGCGGUGAAUACGUUCCCGGGUCUUGUACACACCGCCCGUCAAGUCAUGAAAGUCGGUAACACCUGAAGCCGGUGGCCCAACCCUUGUGGAGGGAGCCGUCGAAGGUGGGAUCGGUAAUUAGG
RNAcentral lists this ribosomal RNA (1439 nucleotides) under uncultured Actinomycetes bacterium. RNAcentral's name for it is "uncultured actinobacterium 16S ribosomal RNA". It matches the Rfam family "Bacterial small subunit ribosomal RNA". Lineage: Bacteria; Bacillati; Actinomycetota; Actinomycetes. The record is from RNAcentral.